This 406-nucleotide ribosomal RNA is filed under the name uncultured bacterium. RNAcentral's name for it is "bacterial SSU rRNA". It matches the Rfam family "Bacterial small subunit ribosomal RNA", at positions 30 to 419 of the family's 1533-position model. The record is from RNAcentral.
AGUGAACGCUGGCGGCAGGCCUAACACAUGCAAGUCGAGCGGCAGCGCGUCCGACCACCCUCGGGUGGUCGGAUGGCGGCGAGCGGCGGACGGGUGGGGAAUGCAUCGGAAUCUGCCUCGUUGUGGGGGAUAACGUAGGGAAACUUACGCUAAUACCGCAUACGACCUACGGGUGAAAGUGGGGGACCUUCGGGCCUCACGCGAUGAGAUGAGCCGAUGCCGGAUUAGCUAGUUGGCGGGGUAAAGGGCCCACCAAGGCGACGAUCCGUAGCUGGUCUGAGAGGAUGAUCAGCCACACUGGAACUGAGACACGGUCCAGACUCCUACGGGAGGCAGCAGUGGGGAAGUAUUGGACAAUGGGGGCGAACCCUGAUCCAGCCAUGCCGCGUGUGUGAAGAAGGCCUUC